This 202-nucleotide small RNA is filed under the name Escherichia coli O157:H7 str. EC4501. RNAcentral's name for it is "Gammaproteobacterial sRNA STnc100". It matches the Rfam family "Gammaproteobacterial sRNA STnc100". RNAcentral also lists the same sequence under 1 other name. The record is from Rfam by way of RNAcentral. Lineage: Bacteria; Pseudomonadati; Pseudomonadota; Gammaproteobacteria; Enterobacterales; Enterobacteriaceae.
UCAGACUGAGCAUUUGUUAAAAAAAUUUCGCAUGGUGAAUCCCCCUGUGUGGAGGGGCGACUGGUGAAAAAUCCUUGCUUGUGAUUCAUUAUCGACACGGGUUCGGUGGUACCAGGCCGAACUCACCGGGAGGCACCCGGCACCAUGCAAUGGCACAUAGCGCCACUCUCCAGCCCCUCUCCGGAGGGGCUUUCUUAUGGAC